AACGACCCGAAGGGUGAGGCGCGAAGCGACGAAUAAUCCUUCCCCCGCCACCA
Molecule: small RNA, 53 nt
Filed under: Klebsiella ornithinolytica
Lineage: Bacteria; Pseudomonadati; Pseudomonadota; Gammaproteobacteria; Enterobacterales; Enterobacteriaceae
Description: Raoultella ornithinolytica partial RtT sRNA
Rfam family: RtT RNA
About the family: This family represents a bacterial cis-regulatory element known as RtT RNA. The exact function of RtT is unknown although it is thought that it may be involved in changing the cellular response in relation to amino acid starvation.
Source: RNAcentral